Molecule: long non-coding RNA, 1021 nt
Organism: Astyanax mexicanus (Mexican tetra)
Lineage: Eukaryota; Metazoa; Chordata; Actinopteri; Characiformes; Acestrorhamphidae
Exons: 3
Source: RefSeq, a predicted model, not a curated record
AACUCUGAAGCUACAUGAAGUUUGGAGGUGUGUAGUGAUGAACUCUGCUGAAGCUACAUGAAGUUUGGAGGUGUGGAGUGAUGAACUCUGAAGCUACAUGAAGUUUGGAGGUGUGUAGUGAUGAACUCUGCUGAAGCUACAUGAAGUUUGGAGGUGUGUAGUGAUGAACUCUGAAGCUACAUGAAGUUUGGAGGUGUGUAGUGAUGAACUCUGAAGCUACAUGAAGUUUGGAGGUGUGUAGUGAUGAACUCUGAAGCUACAUGAAGUUUGGAGGUGUGUAGUGAUGAACUCUGAUGCUACAUGUAGUUUGGAGGUGUGUAGUGAUGAUGAACUCUGAAGCUACAUGAAGUUUGGAGGUGUGUAGUGAUGAACUCUGAAGCUACAUGAAGUUUGGAGGUGUGUAGUGAUGAACUCUGAUGCUACAUGUAGUUUGGAGGUGUGUAGUGAUGAUGAACUCUGAAGCUACAUGAAGUUUGGAGGUGUGUAGUGAUGAACUCUGAAGCUACAUGAAGUUUGGAGGUGUGUAGUGAUGAACUCUGAAGCUACAUGAAGUUUGGAGGUGUGUAGUGAUGAACUCUGAAGCUACAUGAAGUUUGGAGGUGUGUAGUGAUGAACUCUGAAGCUACAUGAAGUUUGGAGUUGUGUAGUGAUGAACUCUGAAGCUACAUGAAGUUUGGAGGUGUGUAGUGAUGAACUCUGCUGAAGCUACAUGAAGUUUGGAGGUGUGUAGUGAUGAACUCUGCUGAAGCUACAUGAAGUUUGGAGGUGUAUAGUGAUGUAGUGACUCUGCAAAAAAGUUGGUGAACUCCGCUGACCCCACUCUGUUAUUUUACACUGACAGAGCACAGAGUCGCUCUUCCACUGUGUUAUAAUAUCACUGACAGUUGGCUGUGGAAUAUUUAGUAGUAAGUAGUGUAAUUUUACGACUGGACUUUGCUGGAGUUUACUGAGCUCCUGAGAGUCUGAGACCCAUUAUUUCACUAAUGUUUGUAGAAGCAGUCUGCAUCACUGCAUGCUGCAU